AGCACCCUUGUCCGGAGGAAUUUGGGGCUCGUUAAGACGGGGGGUCCAUGACGGUACCGGAAGAAUAAGGACCGGCUAACUACGUGCCAGCAGCCGCGGUAAUACGUAGGGUCCAAGCGUUAAUCGGAAUUACUGGGCGUAAAGCGUGCGCAGGCGGUUGUGCAAGACCGAUGUGAAAUCCCCGAGCUUAACUUGGGAAUUGCAUUGGUGACUGCACGGCUAGAGUGUGUCAGAGGGGGGUAGAAUUCCACGUGUAGCAGUGAAAUGCGUAGAGAUGUGGAGGAAUACCGAUGGCGAAGGCAGCCCCCUGGGAUAACACUGACGCUCAUGCACGAAAGCGUGGGGAGCAAACAGGAUUAGAUACCCUGGUAGUCCACGCCCUAAACGAUGUCAACUAGUUGUUGGGGAUUCAUUUCCUUAGUAACGUAGCUAACGCGUGAAGUUGACCGCCUGGGGAGUACGGUCGCAAGAUUAAAACUCAAAGGAAUUGACGG
RNAcentral lists this ribosomal RNA (494 nucleotides) under uncultured Ralstonia sp. RNAcentral's name for it is "bacterial SSU rRNA". It matches the Rfam family "Bacterial small subunit ribosomal RNA", at positions 429 to 916 of the family's 1533-position model. Lineage: Bacteria; Pseudomonadati; Pseudomonadota; Betaproteobacteria; Burkholderiales; Burkholderiaceae. The record is from RNAcentral.